GUAUUAGGCUGGUGCAAAAGUAAUUUCAGUUUUUCUAUCACUUUCAAUGGCAAAAACUGCAAUCACUUUUGCACCAACCU
Molecule: microRNA precursor, 80 nt
Filed under: Gorilla gorilla gorilla (western lowland gorilla)
Lineage: Eukaryota; Metazoa; Chordata; Mammalia; Primates; Hominidae
Description: miRNA (ENSGGOG00000037737.1)
Source: RNAcentral